RNAcentral lists this ribosomal RNA (433 nucleotides) under uncultured bacterium. RNAcentral's name for it is "partial 16S ribosomal RNA". It matches the Rfam family "Bacterial small subunit ribosomal RNA", at positions 29 to 507 of the family's 1533-position model. The record is from RNAcentral.
AACGAACGCUGGCGGCAUGCCUAACACAUGCAAGUCGAACGAGACCUUCGGGUCUAGUGGCGCACGUGUGCGUAACGCGUGGGAACCUGCCCUUAGGUUCGGACUAACUCCCCGAAAGGGGUGCUAAUACCGGAUAAUGUCUUCGGACCAAAGAUUUAUCGCCUUUGGAUGGGCCCGCGUUGGAUUAGCUAGUUGGUAGGGUAAAAGCCUACCAAGGCGACGAUCCAUAGCUGGUCUGAGAGGAUGAUCAGCCACACUGGGACUGAGACACGGCCCAGACUCCUACGGGAGGCAGCAGUGGGGAAUAUUGGACAAUGGGCGAAAGCCUGAUCCAGCAAUGCCGCGUGAGUGAUGAAGGCCUUAGGGUUGUAAAGCUCUUUUACCCGGGAUGAUAAUGACAGUACCGGGAGAAUAAGCGCCGGCUAACUCCGUG